Pseudopodoces humilis (Tibetan ground-tit) is the source of this 1180-nucleotide non-coding RNA. Lineage: Eukaryota; Metazoa; Chordata; Aves; Passeriformes; Paridae. The record is from RefSeq and is a predicted model, not a curated record.
UUUUCACCUCUUGUUUUUCACCCUGUGCCCCCUCUGUCCCCUGUUCCUAUGCUGGGUCCGAGCUGGGGCCGGGCCAGGUGGAGCAGCAGUUCCAGCCCCAGCUGUCCCUGGAGCGGUGGGAGCUGCCGGUGGCCCCAGGCACUGUCCCCUGAGGAGCUGCUGAGGGACGCUGCCCUGAAGACCUUGAGGCCAGCCAGGCACUGCCAGGAGCCAGCAGGGAGAAGCUGAAGGCCAGGAACAAGAGCAGUGAACAGGGAGCUGCUGCUGCCACCCGAGAGCCUGGAUGUCCCAUCUGCUGUGCCUGUCCAGGAGAGCUGCUGUGCACAGGAGCAAGAGACCGAGGGAGAGGCUUUGUAGAUGGGGGGGCUGAGUUCCCUCUGUUUAAAGAAGAAUGGACUUACGCAUAAAGAGGGAUAAUUAUGUGGAUAUUUAUAUAUGUAUGUAUGUAUAUUCCUAUUUGUAUAGGAAUAUUUCUAUAUAUAUGUUGUUCUGUUUAUGGAUGUAUUCUUUGUACAUAUGUAUGGAUAUAUACACAUACAUGUUUGUAAUUUCAUACGUGUAUGUAAGUAUACACAUAUGUUGUUAUAGUUGUGUCAAAUUCUAUCCCCUUAUACAUAGGAGAUACAGUUGUGUAUAUUUUGAUUGAUACAAUUACAGUUAUUUGGCUCUUUAAAUAGGUAUAUUGGUAUUUGCGUAGGUAGAUAUGUGUAUUUUUAUAUUUUUAUCUGUAUAUUGACAUUUCUAUGGAAUUCUAUUUAUAUACGUAUUCAGAUGUGUAGCUGUACAUUUCUAUUGACGCAGUUGUGUGGAUAUUUAACUUGAUAUUUUUGUAUUUAUAGAUAGGUCUGUUUUAUAUAUCUGUUUAUAUAUAUUGUAUGUAAUAUUAAAUCUAUAUGUACAUCUGUAGAUUGUUACAGUUAUACGCGUUUAUAUGAAUUUGUGUAUAGCUGUGUAUUUAGUUCCAUUUACACAUGUAUGGAGUGGUAGAGUUGUAUAAUUCUGUCAGCUGUGAUGAUCACUAUUUGUAUACUGUCAUUUAGAGAGGGAAAGUAUAUUUUUGUAUUUCUUUAUGGGCCGUAGGUUUAUAGUAAUACAUAAUAAAUUGUUAAACAGCUAAUUGAUUUUUAUGUAUAGUGAGUCGUUGUAGAGGCUGGAAAUAAAUUACGUUUUGUUAACAUAA